Molecule: ribosomal RNA, 418 nt
Filed under: uncultured bacterium
Lineage: Bacteria
Description: bacterial SSU rRNA
Rfam family: Bacterial small subunit ribosomal RNA
Source: RNAcentral
GCACAACGCGAAGAACCUUACCAACCCUUGACAUGGCGAUCGCGGCCUCAGAGAUGAGGCUUUCAGUUCGGCUGGAUCGCACACAGGUGCCGCAUGGCUGUCGUCAGCUCGUGUCGUGAGAUGUUCGGUUAAGUCCGGCAACGAGCGCAACCCACAUUCCCAGUUGCCAUCAUUCAGUUGGGCACUCUGGAAAAACUGCCGAUGAUAAGUCGGAGGAAGGUGUGGAUGACGUCAAGUCCUCAUGGCCCUUACGGGUUGGGCUACACACGUGCUACAAUGGCAGUGACAAUGGGUUAAUACCCAAAAAGCUGUCUCAGUUCGGAUUGGGGUCUGCAACUCGACCCCAUGAAGUCGGAAUCGCUAGUAAUCGCGUAACAGCAUGACGCGGUGAAUACGUUCCCGGGUCUUGUACACACCG